RNAcentral lists this transfer RNA (69 nucleotides) under Datnioides polota (four-banded tigerfish). RNAcentral's name for it is "tRNA-Arg". It matches the Rfam family "tRNA". From Rfam's summary of the family: Transfer RNA (tRNA) molecules are approximately 80 nucleotides in length. Their secondary structure includes four short double-helical elements and three loops (D, anti-codon, and T loops). Lineage: Eukaryota; Metazoa; Chordata; Actinopteri; Lobotiformes; Datnioididae. The record is from RNAcentral. RNAcentral also lists the same sequence under 2 other names.
AGACGGCUAGUUUAGUAAAAACAUUUGAUUUCGGCUCAAAAGCUUGUGGUUCAAGUCCACGGCCGCCUA